RNAcentral lists this ribosomal RNA (490 nucleotides) under uncultured bacterium. Its description in RNAcentral is "partial 16S ribosomal RNA". It matches the Rfam family "Bacterial small subunit ribosomal RNA", at positions 30 to 507 of the family's 1533-position model. The record is from RNAcentral.
AUUGAACGCUGGCGGCAGGCCUAACACAUGCAAGUCGAACGGUAACAGGAAGAAGCUUGCUUCUUUGCUGACGAGUGGCGGACGGGUGAGUAAUGUCUGUGAAACUGCCUGAUGGAGGGGGAUAACUACUGGAAACGGUAGCUAAUACCGCAUAACGUCGCAAGACCAAAGAGGGGGACCUUCGGGCCUCUUGCCAUCGGAUGUGCCCAGAUGGGAUUAGCUAGUAGGUGGGGUAACGGCUCACCUAGGCGACGAUCCCUAGCUGGUCUGAGAGGAUGACCAGACACACUGGAACUGAGACACGGUCCAGACUCCUACGGGAGGCAGCAGUGGGGAAUAUUGCACAAUGGGCGCAAGCCUGAUGCAGCCAUGCCGCGUGUAUGAAGAAGGCCUUCGGGUUGUAAAGUACUUUCAGCGGGGAGGAAGGGAGUAAAGUUAAUACCUUUGCUCAUUGACGUUACCAGCAGAAGAAGCACCGGCUAACUCCGUG